UAACGCGUGAGGAACCUGCCUCAAAGAGGGGGACAACAGUUGGAAACGACUGCUAAUACCGCAUAAGCCCACAGCUCGGCAUCGAGCAGAGGGAAAAGGAGUGAUCCGCUUUGAGAUGGCCUCGCGCCGAUUAGCUAGUUGGUGAGGUAAUGGCCCACCAAGGCGACGAUCGGUAGCCGGACUGAGAGGUUGAACGGCCACAUUGGGACUGAGACACGGCCCAG
RNAcentral lists this ribosomal RNA (224 nucleotides) under uncultured bacterium. Its description in RNAcentral is "partial 16S ribosomal RNA". It matches the Rfam family "Bacterial small subunit ribosomal RNA", at positions 111 to 334 of the family's 1533-position model. The record is from RNAcentral.